UACAGAGGUGGCAAGCGUUGUUCGGAAUUACUGGGCGUAAAGGGCGCGUAGGCGGCCUUCUAAGUCAGACGUGAAAUCCCCCGGGCUUAACCUGGGAACUGCAUUUGUGACUGCAUCGCUGGAGUGCGGCAGAGGGGGUGGAAUUCCGCGUGUAGCAGUGAAAUGCGUAGAUAUGCGGAGGAACACCGAUGGCGAAGGCAAUCCCCUGGGCCUGCACUGACGCUCAUGCACGAAAGCGUGGGGAGCAAACAGG
Molecule: ribosomal RNA, 253 nt
Filed under: uncultured bacterium
Lineage: Bacteria
Description: partial 16S ribosomal RNA
Rfam family: Bacterial small subunit ribosomal RNA
Source: RNAcentral